UCGUAACAAGGUCUCCGUAGGUGAACCUGCGGAGGGAUCAUUACACAAAUAUGAAGGCGGGCUGGAACCUCUCGGGGUUACAGCCUUGCUGAAUUAUUCACCCUUGUCUUUUGCGUACUUCUUGUUUCCUUGGUGGGUUCGCCCACCACUAGGACAAACAUAAACCUUUUGUAAUUGCAAUCAGCGUCAGUAACAAAUUAAUAAUUACAACUUUCAACAACGGAUCUCUUGGUUCUGGCAUCGAUGAAGAACGCAGCGAAAUGCGAUAAGUAGUGUGAAUUGCAGAAUUCAGUGAAUCAUCGAAUCUUUGAACGCACAUUGCGCCCUUUGGUAUUCCAAAGGGCAUGCCUGUUCGAGCGUCAUUUGUACCCUCAAGCUUUGCUUGGUGUUGGGCGUCUUGUCUCUAGCUUUGCUGGAGACUCGCCUUAAAGUAAUUGGCAGCCGGCCUACUGGUUUCGGAGCGCAGCACAAGUCGCACUCUCUAUCAGCAAAGGUCUAGCAUCCAUUAAGCCUUUUUUUCAACUUUUGACCUCGGAUCAGGUAGGGAUACCCGCUGAACUUAAGCA
This 566-nucleotide ribosomal RNA is filed under the name Alternaria alternata. RNAcentral describes it as "eukaryotic LSU rRNA". The stretch from base 209 to 362 matches the Rfam family "5.8S ribosomal RNA". The record is from RNAcentral. Lineage: Eukaryota; Fungi; Ascomycota; Dothideomycetes; Pleosporales; Pleosporaceae.